This is a long non-coding RNA of Zingiber officinale, 1348 nucleotides long. RefSeq lists it as uncharacterized. NCBI's taxonomy places the organism in Eukaryota, Viridiplantae, Streptophyta, Magnoliopsida, Zingiberales, Zingiberaceae. The record is from RefSeq and is a predicted model, not a curated record. The transcript is spliced from 4 exons.
UGAUUCGAAUUGAUAGUGAUGUUUCUUUUAGUUGAUUGUUUGAUGCUUGUAUUGAGUUGUUCUCCCUUGUUUUAGAUUUGCACGUACUCGUGUCAUUUCGAUUUAUGCUCAUAAGGUGUUCGACAAAAUGUUUCUUCCAACAGUAGGUUUAAAUUCGUGCACUUUAUUUCACUUAAUGUUUGCUUGUCUUAUCUUUUGCAAUUGCUAUAAGUUUUGUUCUUCAUUUGAAUGCAUUUAGGCUAGGGUAGAUUAGCUUUCUUUAAUGCUCUAAGUUACAUUCCAUGCUUAGUUUCAUUACAUGCUUACUUUAUUUGACUUAAUGUGUAGUGUCCAUCUCCAUUCAGUCCCUUAGUAGAUCAAGAAUGUCAUGCUAUAGAAUGUACCUCUUUUUUAUUGGAAAAGAUGAUUCUGUUUCCAUUUUGAUAUCAGGUUCAUAAGCAGGGUGUUGCACUUGGAAGAUCUGUUGACUUGACAAAGUUUGAUGGUUAUGACCAAUUGAUCGAGGAGUUAGAUUAGCUAUUUGAAUUCAAAGGAGAAUUGAUGGCUCCAAAUAAAAAUUGGAUGAUUGUAUUUACUGAUAAUGAGGAUGAUAUGAUGCUUGUUGGAGAUGACCCUUGGCAGGAAUUUUGUGCUAUGGUCCGUCUGAUUUUUAUAUACCCAAAAGAGGAGGUCCAGAAGAUGGAUUCAAGUACCUUGAACCCAAAAAAUGAAGAUUGUCCUGAUAUGAAAGAGAAUGUCAAGAAAACAAAAGGCAGUCAAUCUGCAUCAUCAUCUAAUUCAAAAAACUCAUAGGCUUAUCCUGCAAUGCUGACGACAUCUUUGCCAUGUGCAAUUCAAUCUUUGUAGGAUCUUGAAGCACAAACAAAGUGAUUGUUUGUGCUUUAUCUAAGUGAUUGUUUGAACAGUUUUAUAGCAUGCAUCUUGACAAUUAAUAUAAUUUUGAAGAUCACUAUCAAGAAAGAAUGUUCAAAGGAAAGUAAAGGCUAAGGAGAAGAUCACGUAAUUAACUACACGGGUCUAGUGAAAAUACUGAAGAAGUAUGACAAGAGAACAGGAGCACUUAUCAGGCAGCCCUUCAUCGAAAAGGUGCUGCAGUAGCCAUUCUUUACAACUGAUCUCCUAUAUAUACAAAAUCCUGAAGGAGUGUGUGGCUAUGCUCGACCACCUCUUCCCCAGCAACAACCUGUCAAUUUCAGCAGAAUGCGACGGACAAAAUGGAGUGCCAAAGCCGGCACAAUCAGGUGGGAGGGUUCCGGAGUUGGAGGAGAUUAAAUAUAUGCAGAGCUUAUACAUGAAGAGCACCGUAGCAGCGCUGCGGUCCUUGAAACAGAUUAGGAGGAAAAGUUCA